UACAAUUAUAAUCACUUUAAAGUAAGUAAUGAAUGCAGAGGUCAUAUUUCUGUAUCACUUAAGAAUUCAUGCUUUAUUGUCCAACUCACAAUAUGCAGCCCAUAAUGUAGUGAAUUCAUUGCCACCUUAUAUGGAUAAAAUUAUCCUAAAAUAUUGUCAAAUAAUUCAUGAUAACCAUAUACAGAAUGAAUCAAGCAUCAAAAAUAACAAAGAUGGCUGGUAGAUCCCCAAAUGAUUUGCUAUCAUCAAGUGAGAAACAACCUCUUUGCCAAGCUAAUGAGAGUUCAUCAGGAAGCAGUUAUUACUCAGCAAUACAGCCAGCAAUACAGUUUGAAAGUGAUAGUUCACAUUCACCUGGAACAAUCUUGUUAAGAGCAACAAUCAUGUGAUCACAAGUUAUCUAAACACUAAUAAUGAAAACACAUAACAGUAGAUGGUGAGAAUGAUACAAGAUAGGAGUACACAGCCAAGAAUUAUCAUCUCUGAUACAGGCCACUACCCAAAAUCAGUGAUUCAAGCCUGAUGUCUAUUUUGAUACAGCCCUGACUGGCAUCAAUGUUAAACCAUUUCUGUUGCUCUGGCUAAACCAAGGCUGUCCUCCAGCAUGGUUGUAUCAUGGAUGAUUAUCAUGAUUGUAUCAUACUAGACUCAUUGCUUUGCAGGCUGCCCAAAAUCCAUGAUACAGGAAUGUAUCAGCUGGUCAUGAUUGAUAUCAGUCAUGAUUCAAAUUAAAAUUCUUGGCUGUGUAGGAGUGUACUAGUUAUGCAUAAGGGAAGACAACACAAAACAGCAAUUUAUUGGCAAAGAAAAACAAUAAAAUGGCUGAAGGAAGAGGCAGUACACAAACAGUAAAAGGAAAAAGGUACCAAGAGCUCUCUUCUUCAGAAAAAAAAUCUGAUAGGGGUGAAUCAUCAGAUGGUAGCCGUUGCUCAACACAAAACGCAGUGUCAAUUAGUGGUAAAUAUGUUAAAAGCAUUACCACUCCCAAUGAAAACAGGAUGGAGGAUGAUGAUAAUGAUCAGGAGCAAAAUGAUGAACACGUUCCUGCUCCUGCUACCAGAAGUAAUAUUGUAAGACUGGAAGAAAAUGAAGAGUAUCCAAUCAAAAGACACUGCUUCCGUGACUGCACUAAAACAAUAUUUAGAAAUCAAAAAAGAUGUGCCAUUGUUCCUUUUGUUUUAGCUUUCGUUUUUAUGGUAAUCUUUAUUGUGUGCAUAUUACGUAUCACAGAAAUGUAUUUGUACUACCACUUUGGUGAUGGUGAUAAUAAUACUAAGGAAUUGUUUAUUCCUGCUGGAAGUGUGGUAGAUGUAAAUCUUACAAGUCUGAACAUCAAUGCAAAACACAUAAACAAGCUCAAAGUCACAGUGCCUGAUAAAAGCAGUCCUGUACGAGUUACCACAGCUCAAGAAGACCAUCAAAUCUCUCUCCCAUUCAACAUUAAUAUUACUUUGAACUAUGAGACCGGUAGAUAUAGAGCAAUAACACGCUACUGGAAGUCUCGUGAACAUAUAACAGGUGACAUAACGUUCCUUGGUUUUGAACGCCCUAGAUAUUUACGUAAUUGCUAUAAAUGGGGCAACAUAACAAAUCCUCCAUAUUGCACCUGUGAUGAUGGCAGCGGUAGUAUUAACAAAACAUUUAACAUAUCAGCAUGUUUCAGUGAUGAUGACAGAGGAAAUGACAAACAUAUUAUUUAUAUACGAUUCUGUUUAGUUGAAUCUGAUGACGCUAAUAUUGUUAUUAACAUUACUGAAACAUAUGUUAUACCAAACAAGAUGUCAUACAAAAGUAUCCAUAAUGAUGAUACAGACAACCAGAACUCGGCAGUUCUUCAGUUUCCAAGUCUUCUGUCAGAGCUAUGUAAUCCAUCAAAGCUAUACGUCAAUACUCACUAUAAAAAUACCAAUGAUGACUGCAGUGAAAUGAUUAAACUGGAACUUAAACCUGAUGCUAUGGAGAUAAUGGAAACAGUUGCAUUAGUAAUAACUGCUAUUCUGUCACUCCUUCUAUCCCUCAUGAUGUUUGGAAUUGGGAUCCGUUGCUGCUGCUGCUGCCAUAUUAAAACAGGUUUUUGUGCUUUGGGACUAUUCUAUGAAGAACCUGAGAGACAAGUCAGACAACCUCUUUGCCAAUCAGAUGGGAGUUCAUCAGAAGGUGGUUAUGGCUCAAUAAGAGAGGAAACACCUGAAGAUUUACUACGAAACUCAUGGUCACCUGAAGGCACACCUGUCAGUAGCAUCACUGCUCCAAAUGAAAACAAUGAAGAAGAAGAAAAUGCUAUACAGCAAGAUGCAAUAUUGUAAGACUGGAAGAAAAUGAAGAAUAUCCAAUCAAAGACACUGUUUCCGUGACUGCACUAAAAAAAUAUUUAGGAACCGAAAAAAAUGUGCCAUUGUUCCUUUUAUUUUAGCUUUGGUUUUUAUGGUAAUCUUCAUUGUGUGCAUAUUACGUAUCACAGAAAUGUAUUGGUACUAUCACUUUGGUGACAAUACUGAGGAAUUAUUCAUUCCUGUUGGAAGUGUGGUAGAUGUGAAUCUUACAAGUCUAAACAUCAGUGCAAAGCAUGCAAACAAGCUCAAAGUCACAGUGCCUGAUAAAAGCAGUCCUGUACGAGUUACCACAGCUCGUGAAGACCAUCAAAUCUCUUUCCCAUUGAACAUUAACUUUAUUUUGAACUUUGAGAAGAGUUGUACAGCAAUAAUACGUUAUUGGAAGUCUCAUAAACAUAUAUCAGGUGACAUAAUACUUACUCUGGAUUAUCAAACCCCUGGUGUACAUAUUUGCUAUCAGUGGGGCAGCAUAACAAAUCCUCCAUCAUAUGGCACAUGUUGUGAUGAUUGUAUUCAUAUAGAUAACACGAAUACACUUAACAUAUCAAAUUAUUUCAAUGAUGAUGAUAGAGGAAAUGACAAACAUAUUAUUUAUAUACAAUUCUGUUUAGAUAUGUUGAGAAGAGAAUUUGAUCAAGCUACCAUUUUUAUUAACAUUACUGAAACAUAUGCUAUACCAAACAAGACAUCAUACAAAAGUAUUUAUAAUGAUGAUACAGACAACCAGAACUCGGCAGUUCUUCAGUUUCAGAGUCUUCUUUUAGGGCCCUCCAAACCAUUAUUAUACGUCAAUACUCACUAUAGAAAUACCAAUGAUGACUGCAGUGAAAUGAUUAAACUGGAAAUCCAGCCUGAUGUGGAGAUAAUAGAAACAGUUGCAUUAGUAAUAACUGCUAUCCUGUCACUCCUUCUAUCCCUCAUGAUGUUUGGAAUUGGGAUCCGUUGCUGCUGCUGCCAUAUUAAAACAGGUUUUUGUGCUUUAGGACUAUUCUAUGAAGAACAAUAAGAAUUUUUGGUCUAAUUACAUUAUUGAGUGAUUGUAUCAAACUCUUGAUUGUAUUUAAUGCUAUUAUUAUGCACUCUUGCUUUUAAACUGUUUGAAUUGCUACAAUUAUAAUGAUUUUGAA
This is an RNA transcript of Amphimedon queenslandica, 3460 nucleotides long. RefSeq lists it as uncharacterized. The record is from RefSeq and is a predicted model, not a curated record. The transcript has 7 exons. NCBI's taxonomy places the organism in Eukaryota, Metazoa, Porifera, Demospongiae, Haplosclerida, Niphatidae.